UUUCGUGAUGACAAAGGGCCAUGUGGCCCGAAUAAUCCCAGCUCGUCGAAUGCCUCAAUAUAAACGCAGAGAGCAUGCUGAGAUACAAACCCCGUUCUGAUCC
Molecule: small nucleolar RNA, 103 nt
Filed under: Oidiodendron maius Zn
Lineage: Eukaryota; Fungi; Ascomycota; Leotiomycetes; Myxotrichaceae
Description: A. fumigatus snoRNA Afu_304
Rfam family: A. fumigatus snoRNA Afu_304
Source: Rfam by way of RNAcentral